Molecule: ribosomal RNA, 503 nt
Filed under: Salmonella enterica
Lineage: Bacteria; Pseudomonadati; Pseudomonadota; Gammaproteobacteria; Enterobacterales; Enterobacteriaceae
Description: bacterial SSU rRNA
Rfam family: Bacterial small subunit ribosomal RNA
Source: RNAcentral
UGAAGAGUUUGAUCAUGGCUCAGAUUGAACGCUGGCGGCAGGCCUAACACAUGCAAGUCGAACGGUAACAGGAAGCAGCUUGCUGCUUUGCUGACGAGUGGCGGACGGGUGAGUAAUGUCUGGGAAACUGCCUGAUGGAGGGGGAUAACUACUGGAAACGGUGGCUAAUACCGCAUAACGUCGCAAGACCAAAGAGGGGGACCUUCGGGCCUCUUGCCAUCAGAUGUGCCCAGAUGGGAUUAGCUUGUUGGUGAGGUAACGGCUCACCAAGGCGACGAUCCCUAGCUGGUCUGAGAGGAUGACCAGCCACACUGGAACUGAGACACGGUCCAGACUCCUACGGGAGGCAGCAGUGGGGAAUAUUGCACAAUGGGCGCAAGCCUGAUGCAGCCAUGCCGCGUGUAUGAAGAAGGCCUUCGGGUUGUAAAGUACUUUCAGCGGGGAGGAAGGUGUUGUGGUUAAUAACCGCAGCAAUUGACGUUACCCGCAGAAGAAGCACCGGC